Octopus sinensis (East Asian common octopus) is the source of this 2953-nucleotide long non-coding RNA. RefSeq lists it as uncharacterized. Lineage: Eukaryota; Metazoa; Mollusca; Cephalopoda; Octopoda; Octopodidae. The transcript is spliced from 3 exons. The record is from RefSeq and is a predicted model, not a curated record.
GCUUUAUAAGUCAAUUAGCAAGACCGGGGGUAAUCGUAGCAGUUAUAUUAAGAAAGAUAUCUUAAGCUGGAAACAAUCUCACUUAAACUACUUAAUUUUAGAAUUUAAUAGUUAACUAGAACCGUAAGAUCGCCGUUCAUUUAGGUGGAACAGUAUGGAUGUGAGACAAUCGCACAUCGACAUUUUCUUUUAAUUUCAUUGCAUACAUACACAUUUUAUUUAGUUGGAUAUUAGUUUAAUUCACUAUUAAGUAAUAAUGAAUCUUAUCUAAAAUAUAAAGAUUAAUUAGUAAAUUUAAAGGCGACUUUCAUUUCACUGUCGCUUGAUAACCAAUUCAUGGAUUUCAUUUUAUUUAAAGCAUCGUUUUCUUAUGGUAAUUAGGAUUCUCUUUAGAAUUUUAAUUUCUUAGUGAAUCGAUCGGUAGGAUUCUUUUUAAAAGUUUAAUUUCUUUAUUAGUGAAUCGAUCGUUGAACAGUCGAGGCGCCCUGCGGGAAAUUGGCGGCAACCAUCACCACGUGGUGUCGUCUAUUGCAUGUCUCCAGAAAACUACUACACGUGGCGGCUUUCUCAUUUAGUAUUACUGAAGCUAUUUCAAUGAUGACAACGAUGACGAGUCUGAGGGCAAUUUGCUGUCUUCGUGGUACAGUUUUUGUACUUUUGAAGUGCAGUUAACUUGCCAUAUCUGCUGCUUCUAGAGGCAUUUGUCUGAGAAAUAGCUGCUUUCAAUACUUCAUUCAUACUAUGCCCCGAGUAGUUUUUCUAACCUCUGUGGAACUUGAUCUAUAUUUUACGUCACGAAUUGGCAGGUUUAUCGAGAGGCAGGCCGCACUAAAAGAAAAUCGGGGAAAUUUUUAGUUAGGUAUGCAAUUAAGGAGUCAUGCGAGCUCCAUAUAAUAUAUACUAUUGAUAAUUUUUCGCUAGGGGUCCUAUUGUCUUACGGGUCGUGGUGAGAAAUAGUAAUUUUUCGUUAGGGAUUCCAUUUAAAGUCCCGCAGGUUCCCUCGUAACUGGUUUACAGUAAAUCGUUCUGCAUUUUCUCUUUAUUAGUUGGGGUUAGCAGGAAUGCAUCUGGUGUUCAGCUAGCAGUAAUUUAUAGUUUUGAUAAUUAUUAGUUUAAAACAAAAUACCUAUUAGGAGUUAUUUGUGUGGUUGAAUUUUAAUAGGGUCUGCGAAGGUGCUGUUUGCCCUGAUGAAUUCUUGGACUAGAGUCUCUGAAAAAUUUUAAUUUGAAGACAAACUGUCCACUGAGCAAAUAAUAUCUUUCGUUAUCUGUCGAUCAUGCCAUAUUUGUUCACAUACUGUAUAAAUUAGUGGUAGGCUUCGUGAGUCAUUCAUACCGCAAUCGGGUCUGUAAUCACAGCUUAGAAUUUUUUUUUUUUUUUUUUUCGGCCAGUUUAAUUUACACGUUAGUCACUUUGAUCGAUUAUCACGGGUUUUUUUCUAUACGACCAUUAUUUUUUAACAGUAGGGUGCAAUUUGGUUGUGAUUUUUAGCAGAAGUGGGUUUCCGUUUUUUUUUUCCCUCUGAAAAUUUCCAUGGACUGGGUGACUGGGUUUUAGUUUCGACGGAUUCACUUUUAUUCUAUUCUAGGAUCGUUUUUCAUUAGUUUAUUCCUAAAUAUUUCGUUUUAUUUGGUCGACUAUGGCGCUGAUUUUUUUUUAUUUGGAUAUCUGCAGAAAUGGUUUACAACGAAUACCUUUUCGUUCAUGACUAGGGUCAGGUACUUCGUCUUUAUGCCGGCAUUUAAUUUUGUAGAAAUAGCAGCCAACUCCUUAGGGGUAAGGAACUCUAUGAUAGUAAAAUAGCCGUAUUGCUUCGUAUUUCAGAUUACUUAGAUAGAACUUUGCAUUUUGACUUGGUACAGAUUUCGUUUUAGUCAUUUUUAAAUAAAAUUUAACUAUGGUGAUAAGUUAUCUAGUCACAAUGUUCUGUUUGAGAUGUCCCAAAAAUGAUGAUUUCGUGGAUCGACUGAUUUCUGACGAUUAAUCCUUUUGCCCCUAUCUGAUUUGGGACAUUUCAUUAGCCGCUAUUUAACCUCCGUUUUUCGUGCUAGCAUGGGUUGGGCAAUUUGACCAGACCUACUAAGGACUGGUCGCAUCAGGCUCCAACGUGGUGGCCACAGCAGUAUAUAUAUAUAUAUACAAGCCAAGGUGAAUCGAGGGGGCGCUUUUUUCAAUAAAAUUCGGACUUUGGUACAGAUGUGAACUUGACAUUUGGCUGUUCAAAGAAGACUUAAAGUAACUGGUGCUGGCUUUUGAGAUAGGACGAAAUUAGUUAUCAAGUACCUGAUAUUGGUGUGGUUGCUACAUCGGGGGGUGGCACUCUAGCUUUGCUAACAGUGCAAAAGUGGGGCAACUUAAUUUCAGAGGGGUGGUAGGUGUCUCAAAGAUUACCCAAGGUCCAGGUGUGUUACAACUGCUCUCACUGAGGAAAAUGUUGGUCAUGUUCACUGCAUGCUGAUGGACAGCAGGUGAUAGACUAUAAAUCAGAUGGCCUAUUCUAUUAGCAUAGGACAGGAAUAUUCUCUGCACAAUGAAUCUGGCGAUAGUUUCUGCUUGUCGGAUGCCAUGUUUUCUAACGCCCGAUGAAAAGUGCACCACACUGAUCACAUCAUGCGAAAAUCUGCAGUAAUUGCCUUAGUUUUUUAAGCUGUGGAUUUUUAGAAAAUAGUGGAAGAGCAUGUUCUGUAGACAAAAUGGAAAUAGAUGUAUGUUAGCAAUCUUUCCAACUUUAUACAUAUAUUUUUUAUAAACGCCUGCGAAAGAAAAUUACUAGUGGAAGGUCAAUGUAGAAAUUUAUAGUAAAAGUGGGAAUGGUAUUCUAAACCAGCCCAGAUAAGUGAGGGAUCCACAGUGGUAUAGAACCAACAGGGAGACUGCAGUUGCUUGACCUGCUAAAAGUAGUAGCUACAUCAACCCCUUUCAGAAUAGAUAUUUGAGUUUUUUAGUGCAUAG